Long non-coding RNA from Leopardus geoffroyi (Geoffroy's cat), 2916 nucleotides. RefSeq lists it as uncharacterized. The transcript is spliced from 6 exons. The record is from RefSeq and is a predicted model, not a curated record. NCBI's taxonomy places the organism in Eukaryota, Metazoa, Chordata, Mammalia, Carnivora, Felidae.
UAGAGUCACAGAGCUACUCGCAGAACCAUCCUAAUGUUGAGAUCUCAUUUACCUUGAAGUUGGAUGGGUCCCCUCAAGCAGUCAUGGCCCUUUGGGGUUCAUGGGGGUCACCGUCAAUGUCCUUGGCUUGUGUCUGUCCUUAGGCCUGGCUACGGCUGCAAAGGUCUUGGUGUGGGUGAUGGAAGGAGCUGCCUGGCUCCUUUCUCUAUGCCCUUCCAGCUCCAGCCUUGACUUGACAUCUAGCCUUGCCCCUUAUACUCUAGGAUUUGUUCUGACCCCUACAUUUCUACACGUAAAAAGCUUGCUUUCUUCACAGAGCUUUCCUGCGGUUCUUCUUACCAAGUCAUCUCAGGUCAGCCUUUGUCCUUGACCUUCUUAGCCCCAAGUCUCUGAGUCCUGCCCAUUCUUUGCUAUCUGGUAUCCUUGCUGUCUCAGAACCUCAGUUCUCCAGUGCCUGGGGUCCUGCUCUUAAACUCCCAUCUCCUGGUGCUCAGGCUCCUGUCCGUCACCACCUCCCAGCAACUUCACCUCGCUCUGUGCCCAGGCUUCUAGAUGCCUUGUCCCCAAGGGAUUCCCAAGUGUUGACCCUUGAUACUCUUGUAGCCAACUGCCUGAAGUUGCUUGAAGUCAACUGCCUGAAACCCUCAUUUGGGCCAGUUUCCUGUGCUCUCAGCUGGAUCAAUAUGCUGGACCUUGGGCUCAGCCUCAGUCUUGGUUCAGGUACUUCUACUCCUCUGGGCCAUUCCCCUCAACCUGCUCUCCAGCUCUUAAAUCCCCCUUUUAAGACGUAGGGUACUUGAGGACAAGCGGUUGGAUGUGGCAACCAGAGAAGGAGAAAUUGAAAGGAAAGUCUGAUAGCUGCAUAGAGUCCCCAGCAUUGGAAGGGGACAACAGCAGAGGUGACUCCUGAUGGAAAGCAAGGACUGCCGAAGUCUGGACUGGGGAUCAUGGCUGUAGGAUGGCAAGAAGGAACCCAGUGGGGUCACCUUCCCCUCCCAUCCACUCAGGCCCAUCCAGUGUACUCUCCGCAUGGCAGCCAGAGUGAUUUUCAUGUGUAAAUCUGUCAUCCUCCCCAACCCCACCCACCCUUUUCUGUCCUCCUAGAGCAAGGGCCAAAAUCCUUAUAAGAUGCUGAAUAAUAGGGCCUUUGCCUACCUCCCCAUCUCCACCCCCAUCAUUAUUCCUAUAAUUCAUUAUGCUUCGGCCACAGUGGCCUUUCUCAAAGUCUCACUCAUUCCACCUCAUUCAGGACUUGUGCAUACACUAUUCUCUCUGCUUAGAAAUUAAACUCCCCACCCCGUGCCCUUGAUCUAGUUAACUCCUGAGGCAUUCUUUAAAUCUCUUCUUAAAGGUCCCUUCCUCAGAGAAGCUCUCCUGGUCCCCCAACUAAGCACUUACAACUCUGCGUACUCCUUUCAUAACAUCGUUUCUCUGUUUCCCCGACUAGACUGUGAGCUCUAUGAAGGCAGGGACCUCGUCUACUUUUGCUCACCAUUAGAUACCUAAUGCAAUGCCCAGGGCUCAAGACUUACUCACUAAGUGAACAAAUGAGUGAAUUAAACAGAACUUCGUGAACAGAAUGAGGACGGAGUGAGGGAGGAAUCCGUAAUGAUUCCUAGGUUUCUAGCUUGGCAGGAUCGUUGCCAUUGACUGAGGAAGAAAAUCGGAAUCCUGGAGUGGCCAAGAUCAUUCAGGAGAAGAAAUAGAUUGAGAAAAGAAGAGGGCUCAGGUAGAAUCACUCAAGGAACAAUAACAAGAAACGGAGGAAGUGAUGGAGUUCAUGAUGACUCAUAGAGAGGGAAAGCUCCUGGGAGCUGAAAUAUAUCCAGAUUCCUGACUCUUUCUCAACGCCCUGCAGAAACCCAGCAAAGACAGGACAAGGUACGACCCUCGAUGCCAGAGCUGGAGAGACGCCAGGACCCAGGGUCCCUCUGAGCUGAGGGACAGGAAGCCCAAGGAGGAGGUUAGGACUUGAGCAUUUGGGGACACGGACUAAGGGAAUUUGAACUAAGAAAUCGAGGCUGACAGUGUGGGUCAACCUCCUUAGCUGUGGAGUCCAUGACUUCUAGGUCCUCCUUCAAAUCUCCAAUGGCUAGGAUUCUCAGAACCAGAAGUAGCUUGAAAAUAAAGCCCUCCAUGUUUCCUGCUGUCUCUCUACUCCUCAUCUUGUGCACGAAAUCUGGUUGGCACACUUAUGGAACCAGUUCCCCUUGAGGGUCGAAAGUGGCAAGGAUAUUUCCCAUCUAACGUGAGAUCUGCAUUUUCGUCUCUUCCUUGUUUCUUCACCCGUGCAAAAGAGGUAGUUCCCAGAAACCUCUGCUUUCUUUCCAUUUCCCCAACACGUUAGCCUACCUGGGAAAAUAUGUGCCAAUUUUAUAUCCCUCAUGGGUUUCACAUCUCUCCCCAGAGCGGUUCUUUAAAGUAUUUCAAAUCCACACCUGAGCAUCGGGAUUACUUAGACACAAAUCUGAAUGAUUAAUUGGAUAUUUUGCACUCCACUUCAAUUCAGGUUGUACAGAAUGUGUUCUACCAACCUCUCCCACCCCUGCCUGUGGCUGCAGCUAAUGUUGAAGAAUCUCCCUAUCCGUAUACCAUGGCUGCAGGCAACAUCUCCAUUUCCUUUAGUGUGAACUCUGAGUCUUUACUGAGUGAUUACUAGCCGAGGUCAAAAAGAAAACCCUAGCCACUUCCAUGACCUGAAAUGCCUUGUUCCCGUUUCUUCUGUAUGUCUCCACUUCCCUAGGAAACUGGGCUCCGCUGUAGGCAGGCUGCUGACUUUUUGUUCAGGAAGCAUGUGCUAGGCAUCAAGCAUCAGCUCCUGGCGGGGAACAAGCUGGUGUUCACACCGCUGGGUGCAGAGCUCGCCCUUGAUGGCGCGGUCGGUGUGCCCUCGGGCCCAGUUACUCCGCCUGUUCU